UACAGAGGGUGCGAGCGUUGUCCGGAAUCACUGGGCGUAAAGGGCGCGUAGGCGGCUUGAUAAGCGUGCGGUGAAAGCCCGGGGCUCAACCCCGGGUCGGCCGUGCGAACUGUCGAGCUGGAGCACUGUAGAGGCAGGUGGAAUUCCGGGUGUAGCGGUGGGAAUGCGUAGAGAUCCGGAAGAACACCGGGUGGGCGAAGGC
Molecule: ribosomal RNA, 202 nt
Filed under: uncultured bacterium
Lineage: Bacteria
Description: partial 16S ribosomal RNA
Rfam family: Bacterial small subunit ribosomal RNA
Source: RNAcentral